GGUAAGAUAGCCAGCAAUAAGCCAAAAGCUGUGCUGAUUGCUGAAUUGAUGGAGGGAGACAGAGCUCGCAGCGCUACACCCCCACCAGCCAUGGAAGAAACUCCCUUCCAAAAGGAAAUGAGGACCAGGAUGGAAUUCCCAUGCAGAGUGGGCCCACAAACUGGACCAAGCCUCCCAGGGGUGGAUACAAGCCAGUCAAGCAACCACCAUGGAGGAGUUACGGCAAUUGCUC
Non-coding RNA from Pelobates cultripes (western spadefoot toad), 232 nucleotides. NCBI's taxonomy places the organism in Eukaryota, Metazoa, Chordata, Amphibia, Anura, Pelobatidae. The record is from the annotation of a GenBank genome assembly.